Molecule: ribosomal RNA, 774 nt
Filed under: uncultured Neocallimastigales
Lineage: Eukaryota; Fungi; Neocallimastigomycota; Neocallimastigomycetes; Neocallimastigales
Description: partial large subunit ribosomal RNA
Rfam family: Eukaryotic large subunit ribosomal RNA
Source: RNAcentral
CGCAUCUGUGCAUGCAGCAUAUCAAUAAGCGGAGGAAAAGAAACUAACAAGGAUUCCCCUAGUAACGGCGAGUGAAGCGGGAAGAGCUCAAAUUUGAAAUCUUAAAGGGUUUCCCUUUACGAAUUGUAGUUUAAAGAAGUGUUUUCUGUUGAGGUUUUGGUAAAAGUUCUUUGGAAUAGGACAUCAUAGAGGGUGAGAAUCCCGUAUUUGACCUUUACUUUCAACUUUGUGAUACACUUUCAAAGAGUCGGAUUGUUUGGGAAUGCAGUCCAAAAUGGGUGGUAAAUUUCAUCUAAAGCUAAAUAUUGGCGAGAGACCGAUAGCGAACAAGUACCGUGAGGGAAAGAUGAAAAGAACUUUGAAAAGAGAGUCAAACAGUACGUGAAAUUGUCAAAAGGGAAGCGUUUGACACCAGUGUUGUUUUUCUGAAAAUCAAUUAAAGAACUGUUUAUGCUAAGUUGUUUAGACUUUAUCAGCUAACUGUUUAGUUUUGAGCUUUUCUUUAAUGCACUUUUCAGUUAACAAGUCAACAUCAAUUUCUUUUGCUGUAAAGAAGCUUGAGGAAGGUGGCUUGAGAUUCGUCUUAAGUGUUUAUAGCCUCUUGCCUAUGCAGUCGGAGAGAUUGAGGUCUGCAGCGUAGAUCCUUCGGGGCUAAAUGCAUUUGUGCUAAGUUAUAGCAUUUUAUAGACAACUUGUUGACUAUGAUUUGUCUUGUAGCUUACUCGCUUAUGUUAUUUUACCUACGCUUAGGAUGUUGACAGCAGUAUAGACUGU